Molecule: ribosomal RNA, 497 nt
Filed under: uncultured bacterium
Lineage: Bacteria
Description: partial 16S ribosomal RNA
Rfam family: Bacterial small subunit ribosomal RNA
Source: RNAcentral
GAUGAACGCUGGCGGCGUGCCUAAUACAUGCAAGUCGAGCGGACGGACGAGGAGUUUGCUUCUCGGAUGUUAGCGGCGGACGGGUGAGUAACACGUGUAUAACCUACCUAUAAUACUGGGAUAACUUCGGGAAACCGGAGCUAAUAGGGGAGAAGAUUUUGAACCGCAUGGUUCAAAGGAGAAAGACGGUCUUGCGGGCACUUAUAGAUGGAUCUGCGCUGCAUGAGCUAGUUGGUAAGGUAACGGCUUACCAAGGCAACCAUGCAUAGCCGACGUGAGAGGGUGGUAGCCGGCAUGGGAACUGAGACAGCCUCCAUACUCCUACGAGACGCAGCAGUCGGCAAUGGGCCGCAAUGGGCGAAAGCAUGACAGAGCAACGCCAAGUGAGUUAUGGAGGUCUUCGGAUCGGAAAAACGGGUUAUGAGGGAAGAACCUAUGUGUCAGUUGAUGUGCAGAUAUUGACGGUAACUAAUAAGAAAGCACCGGCUAACUACGUG